UACGGAGGGUGCGAGCGUUAAUCGGAAUUACUGGGCGUAAAGCGUGCGCAGGCGGUUUGUUAAGCGAGAUGUGAAAGCCCCGGGCUCAACCUGGGAACCGCAUUUCGAACUGGCAAACUAGAGUCUUGUAGAGGGGGGUAGAAUUCCAGGUGUAGCGGUGAAAUGCGUAGAGAUCUGGAGGAAUACCGGUGGCGAAGGCAGCCCCCUGGGCCUGUACUGACGCUCAUGCACGAAAGCGUGGGGAGCAAACAGG
This 253-nucleotide ribosomal RNA is filed under the name uncultured microorganism. RNAcentral's name for it is "partial 16S ribosomal RNA". It matches the Rfam family "Bacterial small subunit ribosomal RNA", at positions 524 to 776 of the family's 1533-position model. The record is from RNAcentral.